UGCCAAGUUUUUAAGGGCGCACGGUGGAUGCCUUGGCACCAGGAGCCGAGGAAGGACGCUGGAGCCUGCGAUAUUCCCCGGGGAGCCGGCAGCCAGGCUGUGAUCCGGGGGUUUCCGAAUGGGGUAACCCGGCGGCCGUGAUGGGCCGUCGCCCCUGCCUGAAUGCAUAGGGCAGCGGGUGGUAACGCGGGGAAGUGAAACAUCUCAGUACCCGCAGGAAGAGAAAGCAACAGCGAUUCCCUUAGUAGUGGUGAGCGAAGAGGGAAGAGGCUAAACCGGGUGCGUGUGAUAGCCGGCAGGCGUUGCGCGCCCGGGGUCGUGGGACCGCCCGGCUGGUACUGCCGUGCCGGCGGGAAGUGAUAAACCGCGUGGGGUAGCCGAACAGCCUGGAAAGGCUGGCCGUAGCGGGUGAUAGUCCCGUAGGCGAAACUCCCGCGGCUUCCGUGGCGUGUUCCCGAGUAGCACGGGGCCCGUGGAAUCUCGUGUGAAUCUGGGAGGACCACCUCCUAAGCCUGAAUACUCCCUGGUGACCGAUAGUGGACUAGUACCGUGAGGGAAAGGUGAAAAGCACCCCGGUGAGGGGUCGUGAAAUAGUACCUGAAACCGUGCGCUUACAAGCCGCAGGAGCGUGACGUCCC
Molecule: ribosomal RNA, 638 nt
Filed under: Actinomycetota bacterium
Lineage: Bacteria; Bacillati; Actinomycetota
Description: Actinobacteria bacterium partial 23S ribosomal RNA
Rfam family: Bacterial large subunit ribosomal RNA
Source: RNAcentral